GGGCGCAGCUGAUGAUCAACGCCGCGUGGGGGAUGAAGGUCUUCGGAUCGUAAACCCCUGUCGAACGGGACGAAAGACCUGGGAGCUAAUCAUCCUGGGAGUGACGGUACCGUUAAAGGAAGCCACGGCUAACUCUGUGCCAGCAGCCGCGGUAAUACAGAGGUGGCAAGCGUUGUUCGGAAUUACUGGGCGUAAAGGGCGCGUAGGCGGCCUUCUAAGUCAGACGUGAAAUCCCCCGGCUCAACCUGGGAACUGCGUCUGAUACUGGGGGGCUAGAGUAUGGGAGAGGGAUGUAGAAUUCCAGGUGUAGCGGUGAAAUGCGUAGAUAUCUGGAGGAAUACCGGUGGCGAAGGCGGCAUCCUGGACCAUUACUGACGCUGAGGCGCGAAAGCCAGGGGAGCAAACGGGAUUAGAUACCCCGGAUAGUCCUAGCCCUAAACGAUGAAUGCUUGGUGUGGCGGGUAUCGAUCCCUGACGUGCCGAAGCUAACGCAUUAAGCAUUCCGCCUGGGGAGUACGGUCGCUAGGCUGAAACUCAAAGGAAUUGACGGUGGCCCGCACAAGCGGUGGAGCAUGUGGUUCAAUUCGACGCAACGCGAAGAACCUUAGCUGGGCUCGAAAUGCAGAUGACAUCCGGCGAACG
This 642-nucleotide ribosomal RNA is filed under the name uncultured bacterium. Its description in RNAcentral is "bacterial SSU rRNA". It matches the Rfam family "Bacterial small subunit ribosomal RNA", at positions 373 to 1007 of the family's 1533-position model. The record is from RNAcentral.